RNAcentral lists this transfer RNA (57 nucleotides) under Neotoma lepida (desert woodrat). Lineage: Eukaryota; Metazoa; Chordata; Mammalia; Rodentia; Cricetidae. The record is from Rfam by way of RNAcentral.
GGCUCAGUGGUUAAGAGCACUGGCUGUUCUUCCAGANGACCUGGGUUCAAUUCCCAG